RNAcentral lists this ribosomal RNA (497 nucleotides) under uncultured bacterium. Its description in RNAcentral is "partial 16S ribosomal RNA". It matches the Rfam family "Bacterial small subunit ribosomal RNA", at positions 28 to 507 of the family's 1533-position model. The record is from RNAcentral.
GAUGAACGCUGGCGGCGUGCCUAAUACAUGCAAGUCGAGCGAACAGAUGAGGAGCUUGCUCCUCUGACGUUAGCGGCGGACGGGUGAGUAACACGUGGAUAACCUACCUAUAAGACUGGGAUAACUUCGGGAAACCGGAGCUAAUACCGGAUAAUAUAUUGAACCGCAUGGUUCAAUAGUGAAAGACGGUUUUGCUGUCACUUAUAGAUGGAUCCGCGCCGCAUUAGCUAGUUGGUAAGGUAACGGCUUACCAAGGCAACGAUGCGUAGCCGACCUGAGAGGGUGAUCGGCGACACGGGAAGUGAGACACGGACAAGACUAGUACGGGAGGCAGCAGUAGGGAAUAGUCCGCAAUGGGCGAAAGCAUGACGGAGCAAAGCCGCGUGAGUGAUGAAGGUCUUGGGAUCGUAAAACUAUGUUAUUAGGGAAGAAAAAAUGUGUAAGUAACUAUGCACGUAUUGACGGUACCUAAUCAGAAAGCCACGGCUAACUACGUG